Non-coding RNA from Schistosoma rodhaini, 45 nucleotides. The record is from Rfam. Lineage: Eukaryota; Metazoa; Platyhelminthes; Trematoda; Strigeidida; Schistosomatidae.
AUUCAGCUGACGAGUCCGAACUAGGACGAAACGUGCAUCCUGGUU